UCAGGAUGAACGCUAGCUACAGGCUUAACACAUGCAAGUCGAGGGGCAGCAUGGUCUUAGCUUGCUAAGGCCGAUGGCGACCGGCGCACGGGUGAGUAACACGUAUCCAACCUGCCGUCUACUCUUGGACAGCCUUCUGAAAGGAAGAUUAAUACAAGAUGGCAUCAUGAGUCCGCAUGUUCACAUGAUUAAAGGUAUUCCGGUAGACGAUGGGGAUGCGUUCCAUUAGAUAGUAGGCGGGGUAACGGCCCACCUAGUCUUCGAUGGAUAGGGGUUCUGAGAGGAAGGUCCCCCACAUUGGAACUGAGACACGGUCCAAACUCCUACGGGAGGCAGCAGUGAGGAAUAUUGGUCAAUGGGCGAGAGCCUGAACCAGCCAAGUAGCGUGAAGGAUGACUGCCCUAUGGGUUGUAAACUUCUUUUAUAAAGGAAUAAAGUCGGGUAUGGAUACCCGUUUGCAUGUACUUUAUGAAUAAGGAUCGGCUAACUCCGUGCCAGCAGCCGCGGUAAUACGGAGGAUCCGAGCGUUAUCCGGAUUUAUUGGGUUUAAAGGGAGCGUAGAUGGAUGUUUAAGUCAGUUGUGAAAGUUUGCGGCUCAACCGUAAAAUUGCAGUUGAUACUGGAUAUCUUGAGUGCAGUUGAGGCAGGCGGAAUUCGUGGUGUAGCGGUGAAAUGCUUAGAUAUCACGAAGAACUCCGAUUGCGAAGGCAGCCUGCUAAGCUGCAACUGACAUUGAGGCUCGAAAGUGUGGGUAUCAAACAGGAUUAGAUACCCUGGUAGUCCACGCGGUAAACGAUGAAUACUCGCUGUUUGCGAUAUACUGCAAGCGGCCAAGCGAAAGCGUUAAGUAUUCCACCUGGGGAGUACGCCGGCAACGGUGAAACUCAAAGGAAUUGACGGGGGCCCGCACAAGCGGAGGAACAUGUGGUUUAAUUCGAUGAUACGCGAGGAACCUUACCCGGGCUUAAAUUGCAGAUGAAUUACGGUGAAAGCCGUAAGCCGCAAGGCAUCUGUGAAGGUGCUGCAUGGUUGUCGUCAGCUCGUGCCGUGAGGUGUCGGCUUAAGUGCCAUAACGAGCGCAACCCUUGUUGUCAGUUACUAACAGGUUCCGCUGAGGACUCUGACAAGACUGCCAUCGCAAGAUGUGAGGAAGGUGGGGAUGACGUCAAAUCAGCACGGCCCUUACGUCCGGGGCUACACACGUGUUACAAUGGGGGGUACAGAGGGCCGCUACCACGCGAGUGGAUGCCAAUCCCCAAAACCUCUCUCAGUUCGGACUGGAGUCUGCAACCCGACUCCACGAAGCUGGAUUCGCUAGUAAUCGCGCAUCAGCCACGGCGCGGUGAAUACGUUCCCGGGCCUUGUACACACCGCCCGUCAAGCCAUGGGAGCCGGGGGUACCUGAAGUGCGUAACCGCGAGGAGCGCCCUAGGGUA
RNAcentral lists this ribosomal RNA (1436 nucleotides) under uncultured bacterium. Its description in RNAcentral is "16S ribosomal RNA". It matches the Rfam family "Bacterial small subunit ribosomal RNA". The record is from RNAcentral.